Molecule: small RNA, 479 nt
Filed under: Histoplasma capsulatum var. duboisii H88
Lineage: Eukaryota; Fungi; Ascomycota; Eurotiomycetes; Onygenales; Ajellomycetaceae
Description: Histoplasma capsulatum H88 hypothetical RNA
Source: RNAcentral
UCGAAGAUUCUCAAGGGGGGAAACGCGUCUAUUCAAGCAUCAUUGUCGCGCCCUCAUUUGGAAACCACAGAAUGUGCAAUCAUAUCAUUCCUGCUGCUGGAGACAAAUGGGAGAAGCCAAUGUUCAUUAUUUUCCAGACGGAGAGCCGAUGGUAGGCUUGAUGGUCGGCGAAACCACUGUCCUCCCUGCCAGGAGGCUAAGCAGAGUCCUAUACGGAAGGAAGGCAAGGGAGUUAAAUAGACCAUUGUCCUAAUUUGUAUUGUGUCUGUUUGAGGGAAAGGAAAAUAGGGCUUCAUUAUUUAUUCCCCCGGCUCCUCCCCUGCUUUAAGUUUGGCCAUGUUUGCUUUUUUGCCAGUGCUUUUUGAAAGCUUGGACAGGAGAUAUAAUAUGAUAGCAAGGCAAGUAUCGGAAAUUCGAGACAGAUACUGGUACCAGUAGCUAUAUGUGUGUUAUAUGUAGCAAUUCUAUGAAGGCCGACA